This 896-nucleotide ribosomal RNA is filed under the name uncultured Flavobacterium sp. Its description in RNAcentral is "bacterial SSU rRNA". It matches the Rfam family "Bacterial small subunit ribosomal RNA", at positions 34 to 934 of the family's 1533-position model. Lineage: Bacteria; Pseudomonadati; Bacteroidota; Flavobacteriia; Flavobacteriales; Flavobacteriaceae. The record is from RNAcentral.
UGCUAGCGGCAGGCUAACACAUGCAAGUCGAGGGGUAGAGGAAGCUUGCUUCCUUGAGACCGGCGCACGGGUGCGUAACGCGUAUGCAAUCUGCCUUGUACUGAGGGAUAGCCCAGAGAAAUUUGGAUUAAUACCUCAUAGCAUUAUGAAAUCGCAUGGUUUUAUAAUUAAAGUUCCAACGGUACAAGAUGAGCAUGCGUCCCAUUAGUUAGUUGGUAAGGUAACGGCUUACCAAGACGAUGAUGGGUAGGGGUCCUGAGAGGGAGAUCCCCCACACUGGUACUGAGACACGGACCAGACUCCUACGGGAGGCAGCAGUGAGGAAUAUUGGUCAAUGGACGCAGGUCUGAACCAGCCAUGCCGCGUGCAGGAUGAAGCAUCUAUGGUGUGUAAACUGCUUUUGUACGGGAAGAAACACUCCUACGUGUAGGAGCUUGACGGUACCGUAAGAAUAAGGAUCGGCUAACUCCGUGCCAGCAGCCGCGGUAAUACGGAGGAUCCAAGCGUUAUCCGGAAUCAUUGGGUUUAAAGGGUCCGUAGGCGGCUUUAUAAGUCAGUGGUGAAAGCCCAUCGCUUAACGAUGGAACGGCCAUUGAUACUGUAGAGCUUGAAUUACUUGGAAGUAACUAGAAUAUGUAGUGUAGCGGUGAAAUGCUUAGAUAUUACAUGGAAUACCAAUUGCGAAGGCAGGUUACUACAAGUGGAUUGACGCUGAUGGACGAAAGCGUGGGGAGCGAACAGGAUUAGAUACCCUGGUAGUCCACGCCGUAAACGAUGGAUACUAGCUGUUCGGAGCAAUCUGAGUGGCUAAGCGAAAGUGAUAAGUAUCCCACCUGGGGAGUACGCACGCAAGUGUGAAACUCAAAUGAAUUGACGGAAGGCGAAUUCCAGCACAC